GGAAGUAAAAGUCGUAACAAAGUAUCCGUAGGGGAACCUGCGGAUGGAUCAUUAACAUUUAAUUAUCCUUAUUAUACACUAUUAUAAUUGUUGAAGUUAUGUUAUUCUUUUUUAUUAAAGAACAACAUUCUUUUUAUACAUAAACUAUAAACUUUCCAUUUAUAAAUUAAUUAUUAUAUUCGCAAGGAUAUAUAAUCUAUUACAAAAUGUGAAACAACUUUUAACAAUGGAUAUCUUGGUUCUC
Molecule: unclassified non-coding RNA, 244 nt
Filed under: plant metagenome
Description: partial contains small subunit ribosomal RNA and internal transcribed spacer 1
Rfam family: Eukaryotic small subunit ribosomal RNA (bases 1-54)
Source: RNAcentral